UACGUAGGUGGCGAGCGUUGUCCGGAAUUAUUGGGCGUAAAGCGCGCGCAGGUGGGAUCUUAAGUCUGUUCUGAAAGUUCGGAGCUUAACUCCGUGAUGGGAUGGAAACUGGGAUUCUUGAGUAUCGGAGAGGAAAGCGGAAUUCCCCGUGUAGCGGUGAAAUGCGUAGAUAUGGGGAGGAACACCAGUGGCGAAGGCGGCUUUCUGGACGAUGUCUGACACUGAGGCGCGAAAGCCAGGGGAGCGAACGGGAUUAGAUACCCCGGUAGUCCUGGCCGUAAACGAUGGGUACUAGGUGUGGGGGGUGUCAACUCCUCCCGUGCCGGCGCUAACGCAAUAAGUACCCCGCCUGGGGAGUACGGCCGCAAGGUUGAA
RNAcentral lists this ribosomal RNA (375 nucleotides) under uncultured bacterium. RNAcentral describes it as "bacterial SSU rRNA". It matches the Rfam family "Bacterial small subunit ribosomal RNA", at positions 524 to 898 of the family's 1533-position model. The record is from RNAcentral.